GCGACGUCGCGAGAAUUCCACUGAACCUUAUCAUUUAGAGGAAGGAGAAGUCGUAACAAGGUUUCCGUAGGUGAACCUGCGGAAGGAUCAUUGUCGAACCCUGCAAAGCAGAACGACCCGUGAACGCGUAAAAACAACUGAGUGUCGUUAGGAUCAAGCGCUCGUUUGAUCCUCUCGACGCUCUGCCGAUGUGCGUUCCCUCGAGUUCUUCUGGACCUCGUGUGAAUGUCGUCGGCGCAAUAACAACCCCCGGCACAAUGUGUGCCAAGGAAAACUAAACUCAAGAAGGCUCGUUUCGUGUAGCCCCGUUCGCGGUGCGCUCAUGGGACGCGGCUUCUUUAUAAUCACAAACGACUCUCGGCAACGGAUAUCUCGGCUCACGCAUCGAUGAAGAACGUAGCAAAAUGCGAUACUUGGUGUGAAUUGCAGAAUCCCGUGAACCAUCGAGUUUUUGAACGCAAGUUGCGCCCGAAGCCUUUUGGCCGAGGGCACGUCUGCCUGGGCGUCACGCAUCGCGUCGCCCCCCACAAAUUCUCCGUCAGGGGAGCUUGUGUYUCGGGGGCGGAUACUGGUCUCCCGUGCUCAUGGCGCGGUUGGCCGAAAUAGGAGUCCCUUCGAUGGACGCACGAACUAGUGGUGGUCGUAAAAACCCUCGUCUUUUGUUUCGUGCCGUUAGUCGCGAGGGAAGCUCUUUAAAAACCCCARCGCGUCGUCUCUUGACGGCGCUUCGACCGCGACCCCAGGUCAGGCGGGACUACCCGCUGAGUUUAAGCAUAU
Molecule: ribosomal RNA, 777 nt
Filed under: Artemisia japonica
Lineage: Eukaryota; Viridiplantae; Streptophyta; Magnoliopsida; Asterales; Asteraceae
Description: eukaryotic LSU rRNA
Source: RNAcentral